Molecule: long non-coding RNA, 711 nt
Organism: Salvia splendens (bonfire salvia)
Lineage: Eukaryota; Viridiplantae; Streptophyta; Magnoliopsida; Lamiales; Lamiaceae
Exons: 2
Source: RefSeq, a predicted model, not a curated record
AUGAUUUGAGAUCUGAAAACAUAAAUGUUCCAGCACAACACAUCUCAAUCAAUGGCUGUGCAGAUGUCGACGCUUUCAAUUCCCAAAACCUCUCUUCAAAAAAUUCCUUAACUCUUCCCUUCUUCACUCCUCUCCAAAAUAAAUCACAUCAAAUUACAAACAACUCUUCUACUAAUUUGGAAUGUGAUGGAGUUCCUCAAGUCUAGUUUCCUUUGCAUUCUACUUCUCCUCCUCCUCUUCGGGCCGGGCUUUUCAGCAGGGAGAAUGCAUGCGAAGAAUAUGGGAUCAGAGGUUUACGAUAUUGAUUACAGAGGGCCGGAAACGCACACAUACAACCCGCCGCCGAAUCGGGCCGGCCCAAGAAUCCCUCAUCAACCCACCUCGGCCCGUUUCAAGUCCAAACGGAAUGUAAGGAGACAUAUUGAUAGGAAAAAUUCUAGAUCGUGAGUUUGUGAUGACUCAAAUGAUCAUUCAUACUAUUAUUCUCUCUUUUUUUUUUUGAAAAUGUCAUAUAUAAUUUGCAUUUGUGUGAAUUUAAAAAAUUGGGUUUCAGUAUAGUUUAUGCAACGAGAUUUGGAAUCUUUUAAAAUAUGACUUGAAUUUUGCUUGGUUUUUUAAAAUCUCAAUUUUGUACUCCAUGGUUUCAGUUUUGGUCUGUGACCGAGAAUUAAACAUAGAAAAAUUAAAUCAACUUGUUUGAAUUUUGAAUAA